GUCCUACGGGGCGCAGCAGUAGGGAAUCUUCCACAAUGGACGAAAGUCUGAUGGAGCAACGCCGCGUGAGUGAAGAAGGGUUUCGGCUCGUAAAGCGCUGUUGGUAGUGAAGAAAGAUAGAGGUAGUAACUGGCCUUUAUUUGACGGUAAUUACUUAGAAAGUCACGGCUAACUACGUGCCAGCAGCCGCGGUAAUACGUAGGUGGCAAGCGUUGUCCGGAUUUAUUGGGCGUAAAGCGAGUGCAGGCGGUUCAAUAAGGCUGAUGUGUAAACCUUUUGCCCCACCGGAGAAUUGCA
This 297-nucleotide ribosomal RNA is filed under the name uncultured bacterium. Its description in RNAcentral is "partial 16S ribosomal RNA". It matches the Rfam family "Bacterial small subunit ribosomal RNA", at positions 335 to 625 of the family's 1533-position model. The record is from RNAcentral.